GCUGGAACGCACGACCACCAGC
Molecule: small nuclear RNA, 22 nt
Filed under: Arabidopsis thaliana (thale cress)
Lineage: Eukaryota; Viridiplantae; Streptophyta; Magnoliopsida; Brassicales; Brassicaceae
Description: snRNA_02216
Source: RNAcentral